UACAUGUGGGGCAAGCGUUGUUCGGAAUUACUGGGCAUAAAGGGUGCGUAGGCGGCUUGUUAAGUCAGGGGUGAAAGUUUUCGGCCCAACCGGAAAAUUGCCUUUGAUACUGGCGAGCUUGAGUGCGUGAGGGGUAACCGGAACGAGUGGUGUAGCGGUGAAAUGCGUAGAUAUCACUCGGAAGGCCAAAGGCGAAGGCAGGUUACUGGUACGCAACUGACGCUGAGGCACAAAAGCGUGGGGAGCAAACAGG
RNAcentral lists this ribosomal RNA (253 nucleotides) under uncultured bacterium. RNAcentral describes it as "partial 16S ribosomal RNA". It matches the Rfam family "Bacterial small subunit ribosomal RNA", at positions 524 to 776 of the family's 1533-position model. The record is from RNAcentral.